UUAUGAAUCUAUAUAUAUAAAAAUCAAUUGCUGUUCCUUUGUCUCGCUAAAACUCGAGAACGGCUGAACGGAUUUAUCUUAUCUUGGUCUUGAAUUAUUCGUGGAGGUCUAGGGAAGGUUUAAAAGGUGAGAAAAUAUCAAAUAAUUGACGGAAAUGCCCUAAAAACAGCCCUUUUCUUUAUCCCAUACAAACGUUUUCUAACUAAUACGUAGAGUCAAUUUGAGCUUUAUUGCUAUUGGAUAAAGUUCAUUGUUGGAUAAAUGCUAUUGGAUACUAAAAAACAAAUGCUAUUGAAUAAGACUUGGAGCACAGAAUCCCUACUAAUAUUAUAAAUGCGAAAGUAACUCUGUCUGUCUGUAAUUACGCUUUCAAGCCUAAACCAGUGAACCGAUUUUGAUGGAAUUUAGUACUGAGAUAGAAUAGACCUUGAUACUUUUUAUUGCAAAAAAAAAAUAGCGGAGAAAAAUAGUGGGUAAAAAUAAGGGAUAAAUGGUCAUAUGGAAAUUCGUCUUUUUAAAAGCUGUAACAGUAAAACUUUGUAUUUAGAUACUUAAUGAGGAACGAAAGAACAUGGUCUACUUUUUAUUGCAAAAAAAUAGGGAGAGUGGGUAAAAAUAGGGGAUGAAUGGUCAUAUGGAAAUUCGUCAUUUUUAAAGCUGUAACAGUGAAAUUUUGUAUUUAGACACUUAAUGAGGAGCGAAAGAACAUAGGCUACUUUUUAAUAAAAAGGGUAGAAGGCGUAGAAUGCUUGAUAGAGGAGAUUAAUGUUUGCUUGAAAAUUCGUCAUUUUCGUAAAUACGUUGCCUGUGGCGUUGCUCGCGUUCGAUUCUUAUUUAAAUACACAUAUACUUAUUUACAUCGCCAAUAUCCCUACUACCAUACUAAUGUUAUGAAUGCGAAAGUGAUCCUGUUUGUGUUGAGGUUACGCUUGCACGAAUGUUUUUUUUUUUUGGAAUAUAACAACGAAACAAUGUAUUUUUUUUAUUGAUAGGCAAUAUAUAGAAAAUUAAAGGAUAAUAAUAUAGAUAACCUUGGCUACUUUUCAUCAUGAUUAUAAAAUGAUGAAUCGGCGGUCGUGGUUUCUUUGGAAUACAUAUCUUUAAAAAUGCUAACAGUAACAUAUUCUCAAGUAAUUCACAUUUUAGAUGACAUACGGUAGCAUUUUAACCACUAACACCACUACGCGGACGAAGUCGCGGGCAAAAGCUAGAUUCGAUAAAUUUUCAUUUGUACAUGUCAAAUAUUUGUUGUUUCUAAAUUCAAAUUCUGUAAAUAAUGAUUGACAUUUAUGCAUAAACUAUGAAAAGGGUGAAUAAACAAUUGUCUGUAUUUUUUUUAAUCUAUUGAAAAUGUUGAAAAGUGCAUUAAGCAUUAAUAGAAAUUCCUCAAAUAUUAAUUAUGCGUGCGUUCAUAAAUAAUGACAAAUUAUCAACAGUUACGCGUGUGUUCAGAAAUUUAUUUUGUGUAAAUUAAAGUUUCUAUUUACGUUUCCGAACAAACGAUGCUCUUUCAAUAUAGUCUAUUGGUGUGAAUGACAUUUACAUUCGUAUUGCGCGUUUUUUAAAAUAUGCAAAAUUAAAUGUAUAUUUUUCAAUAUUUCUGAGAGAUUAUCUUAAUAUUUCUUCGAGUUUUAAAGACUAAGAAGAUUUUUAUUUGCUAAUAAGUGUGUGUUAAUCAAGUUGGAAUUUCGUUUUUAACAAUGCUACCAACCAGACGUACAAGCUUAGGCCGCAGAACUCGAAAUACGGCAAGUCAAAGAAAUAUAAGAGCAAAUCAAACUGAUGAGCAUCGCGAAGCGCGAAAUGAACUUAAACUGAAUCGAUAUCAAGAUAGAAAUGUUGUGUUUAAUCCCCACAAAGCUGCAUUCAGUUAUAAUGUGGCAAUUGAUUACAGUUCAGAGCAAAUUGUUGCUAUUGGACUAAUGAACAUUGUGUGUCCACAUUGGGAUUGAAAUUAAAAAAUUAAGCCUCUGGAUUGUGUUGCGCCAGCGGCCAAGUCAAAUUGACGCCAUUGGUACCGCCACCAGAGCCACUACAUUCAUUGGUUCAUUUUUUGACUCAUAACCAGCAGUACAAUAAUUGCUUUCAAAUGGCAUAAUUUGGGGCAACAAAAGUUAUAAGAGACAAUUUUUUGCCUACUUUUAGCAAAUUCAGGGAUUCAAAUAUAUCAUCAAACAGGUUCCUUAUUGCCAGUGCCUGUUGAAGACUAUACAUUUUUGCAAAUAUAUUUUAUGGACAAUUCAGCAAGAGAAGUCGAUCAGCGUUGCGCACACAACAACUCAGUAAAGAGAUCCAUUGUGAUGAACAACUUCAAACAUUUUUCCUUCAACACAAUGAAUUAGUUGCAUUAGACCGAUGCAUUAGACAUUCACAAAUGCAUUAGACCGCAUGCCAUCAGAUAAUCACAAAAUUGUCAUCAGAGCCGAUAAGGCGCCUGCAGGACAGUGAAAUGAUUGAA
Molecule: long non-coding RNA, 2458 nt
Organism: Spodoptera frugiperda (fall armyworm)
Lineage: Eukaryota; Metazoa; Arthropoda; Insecta; Lepidoptera; Noctuidae
Exons: 3
Source: RefSeq, a predicted model, not a curated record